GGGUUGUGAGGUUAAGCGACUAAGCGUACACGGUGGAUGCCCUGGCAGUCAGAGGCGAUGAAGGACGUGCUAAUCUGCGAUAAGCGUCGGUAAGGUGAUAUGAACCGUUAUAACCGGCGAUUUCCGAAUGGGGAAACCCAGUGUGAUUCGUCACACUAUCAUUAACUGAAUCCAUAGGUUAAUGAGGCGAACCGGGGGAACUGAAACAUCUAAGUACCCCGAGGAAAAGAAAUCAACCGAGAUUCCCCCAGUAGCGGCGAGCGAACGGGGAGGAGCCCAGAGCCUGAAUCAGUGUGUGUGUUAGUGGAAGCGUCUGGAAAGGCGCGCGAUACAGGGUGACAGCCCCGUACACAAAAAUGCACAUGCUGUGAGCUCGAUGAGUAGGGCGGGACACGUGGUAUCCUGUCUGAAUAUGGGGGGACCAUCCUCCAAGGCUAAAUACUCCUGACUGACCGAUAGUGAACCAGUACCGUGAGGGAAAGGCGAAAAGAACCCCGGCGAGGGGAGUGAAAAAGAACCUGAAACCGUGUACGUACAAGCAGUGGGAGCACAGAGCAAUCUGUGUGACUGCGUACCUUUUGUAUAAUGGGUCAGCGACUUAUAUUCUGUAGCAAGGUUAACCGAAUAGGGGAGCCGAAGGGAAACCGAGUCUUAACCGGGCGUUAAGUUGCAGGGUAUAGACCCGAAACCCGGUGAUCUAGCCAUGGGCAGGUUGAAGGUUGGGUAACACUAACUGGAGGACCGAACCGACUAAUGUUGAAAAAUUAGCGGAUGACUUGUGGCUGGGGGUGAAAGGCCAAUCAAACCGGGAGAUAGCUGGUUCUCCCCGAAAGCUAUUUAGGUAGCGCCUCGUGAAUUCAUCUCCGGGGGUAGAGCACUGUUUCGGCAAGGGGGUCAUCCCGACUUACCAACCCGAUGCAAACUGCGAAUACCGGAGAAUGUUAUCACGGGAGACACACGGCGGGUGCUAACGUCCGUCGUGAAGAGGGAAACAACCCAGACCGCCAGCUAAGGUCCCAAAGUCAUGGUUAAGUGGGAAACGAUGUGGGAAGGCCCAGACAGCCAGGAUGUUGGCUUAGAAGCAGCCAUCAUUUAAAGAAAGCGUAAUAGCUCACUGGUCGAGUCGGCCUGCGCGGAAGAUGUAACGGGGCUAAACCAUGCACCGAAGCUGCGGCAGCGACACUGUGUGUUGUUGGGUAGGGGAGCGUUCUGUAAGCCUGUGAAGGUGU
This 1229-nucleotide ribosomal RNA is filed under the name Escherichia coli. RNAcentral describes it as "partial 23S ribosomal RNA". It matches the Rfam family "Bacterial large subunit ribosomal RNA", at positions 1 to 1259 of the family's 2925-position model. RNAcentral also lists the same sequence under 1 other name. The record is from RNAcentral. Lineage: Bacteria; Pseudomonadati; Pseudomonadota; Gammaproteobacteria; Enterobacterales; Enterobacteriaceae.